GCCAACCUGUGAAACUGGGCGCAAGGUGAGGGGUGCUAUCUGUGAUUGAGGGACAUGGUUAAUGGAAUUGUCUCACACAGAAAUCGCACCCGUCACCUUGGCCUACUUAUCA
This is a non-coding RNA of Gorilla gorilla gorilla (western lowland gorilla), 112 nucleotides long. RefSeq annotates it as microRNA mir-342. The record is from RefSeq and is marked provisional. The transcript has a single exon. Lineage: Eukaryota; Metazoa; Chordata; Mammalia; Primates; Hominidae.